AGGAAGGUGGGGAGUGACGUCAAAUCAUCAUGCCCCUUACUGACCUGGGCUACACACGUGCUACAAUGGUUGGUACAACGAGUUGCGAGUCGGUGGACGGGCGAGCUAAUCUCUUAAAGCCAAUCUCAGUUCGGAUUGUAGGCUGCAACUCGCCUACAUGAAGUCGGAAUCGCUAGUAAUCGCGGAUCAGCACGCCGCGGUGAAUACGUUCCCGGGCCUU
RNAcentral lists this ribosomal RNA (220 nucleotides) under uncultured Streptococcus sp. RNAcentral describes it as "partial 16S ribosomal RNA". It matches the Rfam family "Bacterial small subunit ribosomal RNA", at positions 1167 to 1382 of the family's 1533-position model. The record is from RNAcentral. Lineage: Bacteria; Bacillati; Bacillota; Bacilli; Lactobacillales; Streptococcaceae.